RNAcentral lists this ribosomal RNA (375 nucleotides) under uncultured organism. Its description in RNAcentral is "partial 16S ribosomal RNA". It matches the Rfam family "Bacterial small subunit ribosomal RNA", at positions 527 to 896 of the family's 1533-position model. The record is from RNAcentral.
GUAGGUGGCAAGCGUUAUCCGGGAAUUAUUGGGGCGUAAAGCGCGCGCAGGCGGUUUCUUAAGGUCUGAUGUGAAAGCCCACGGGCUCAACCGUGGAGGGUCAUUGGAAACUGGGGAACUUGAGUGCAGAAGAGAAAAGCGGAAUUCCACGUGUAGCGGUGAAAUGCGUAGAGAUGUGGAGGAACACCAGUGGCGAAGGCGGCUUUUUGGUCUGUAACUGACGCUGAGGCGCGAAAGCGUGGGGAGCAAACAGGAUUAGAUACCCUGUAGUCCACGCCGUAAACGAUGAGUGCUAAGUGUUAGAGGGUUUCCGCCCUUUAGUGCUGCAGCUAACGCAUUAAGCACUCCGCCUGGGGAGUACGGUCGCAAAGACUG